RNAcentral lists this ribosomal RNA (484 nucleotides) under uncultured bacterium. Its description in RNAcentral is "partial 16S ribosomal RNA". It matches the Rfam family "Bacterial small subunit ribosomal RNA", at positions 30 to 507 of the family's 1533-position model. The record is from RNAcentral.
AUUGAACGCUGGCGGCAGGCCUAACACAUGCAAGUCGAGCGGAUGAAGGGAGCUUGCUCCUGGAUUCAGCGGCGGACGGGUGAGUAAUGACUAGGAAUCUGCCUGGCAGUGGGGGAUAACGUCCGGAAACGGGCGCUAAUACCGCAUACGUCCUGAGGGAGAAAGUGGGGGAUCUUCGGACCUCACGCUAUCAGAUGAGCCUAGGUCGGAUUAGCUAGUUGGUGGGGUAAAGGCCUACCAAGGCGACGAUCCGUAACUGGUCUGAGAGGAUGAUCAGUCACACUGGAACUGAGACACGGUCCAGACUCCUACGGGAGGCAGCAGUGGGGAAUAUUGGACAAUGGGCGAAAGCCUGAUCCAGCCAUGCCGCGUGUGUGAAGAAGGUCUUCGGAUUGUAAAGCACUUUAAGUUGGGAGGAAGGGCAGUAAGUUAAUACCUUGCUGUUUUGACGUUACCAACAGAAUAAGCACCGGCUAACUUCGUG